CCUGACUAAGACUUUCUGUGGCAUUUGAAAACAUGGUUUUCCUUCUUUGAAGCUUCCUGAGCCCUGAACUUCCAUAUGCUAUGUUCUCGAUUCUGCACUGCCUGUCUGCAGGGGCCCGUCUUCCCGGCCCGCGCCUGCUGCGUGCCUAUUGGUGUUCCCCAGGAUUCUCUUCUAACUCACUGUUCCUCUUGUGCUGCCACACACACUCCCUGGAGAAGCUCAUCCUCUCUCGUGGGACAUGCAAAUUACUCUCAAAUCCCUGUCUCCAAUGGAACUCUUUGCCCUAGCUUUUCCCAUAGGCAACACAAAGCCAGCACUCCCAAAAUGGCAGUGGGAGCACAGUCAUUUUCCUGUUAAACUGCCCACUCUCCCCACCUUGCUAAACGGCACUGUGGCCCCCUGCAGGGGUGGGGGUGCUGCUACCGCACUACCCGCUCGCUACACGCAUCCACUCAAUUGCCAUGUCCUCCCAAAUCUCUCUCCUAAGUAUCUCCUAAAGGUCUCCCUCUCUCCCUGUUAUCUUACCUCCAUCCACAGCUGCCUGGAUGUUUGCCUUGUUUGCAGGCCUUACCAUCUUCUUCCUAGCUGCUGGAGUGACCCCUCUGAACAAUGAAACUGGUCUUGCCAAGUCCCUGCUUCAAACCUUUUCAUCGUCCCUCUACCACCUCCUUAAGUCUGGACUCUAUGCAGAUCGUGGGAGGUCUUCUGGGGCCAGAGCUGCUGCUCCUUCUCCGCAGCCUUGUGCUUUCUGCACCUGCAGUGCCAAAUCACCGGUGCUGGCUCUGGUUUUCCCCUCAGCGCAAAGUGGCUUGUCCUCCUCCUCCCUGCCCACUCAUCUCUUCACUUGGUGGAACCUUAUUCAUCCUUAACACCAGGUCUCUUAUGUUGGAGAAGACUUUAUAUGAUCACUUGGACCAGUAAUUGCCAAUUCUGGAUGGUCACCAGAGGGUUCUUUAAAAACAGAACCAAGGUCUGCACUGCAUCUCCAAGCCUGCAGAGAAAUGAUGUGUGACAGCCCGCCUUGACAAAUCAGCACUGCUUACAGCCCUGCCACCAGAAUGCCUUCACUCUGUCCAACUUGAAUUCCCUUUAAAGCAAUGGAAGGAAUCUGCUUUCCAAGAUCCCUUCAGAAGGAAAGAUUUGCAUUGUUUAAAGGAGAAUAAAAAUCAGAUGUCUAAGAAAAAGGAAAAAGACAAAGUCUCCUUUCAAGAAGUAACAACUCUGCCAGCUUACUCAGGUCAUGAAAUAAUGCUGUUGGCAAUGACUUUGGGGUGUUCUGUCACAGUCUCAGUACACUUUCUCCCCCCUGGGCAGUAUUUUAUAGUUACUGCUUCUACGCCCCAUUGGCUCAGACAUAAUUUAUUAUUUGUUUACAUGUUUCACUUACUCUGCUAAGGUGGAAGUCCGGUGAUGCAUUAUUACUGACAGCAUCAGUGUGUGUGUGUGUGUGUCUGUGUGUGUCUAUUUGUGUGUCAUUGAAAGACUCAAGGAGAUCUGACGGGUUCUGAACCUGCAAGUUUUCAGAGCACAAGUGGCCCCCCCAGGUCUACAAGAGCCUCCCUGGGCUCUUGGCUCAGAUCAAAUGUGUCCUAUGUCCCUGUAGUUAGUUCCUUCUACUUCUCUGAGGACCAAGACAAUUCCAGGAAGACACAGGCUCCCCGGGACUGUGACUUUCUAUUCUCUCCUUUGACUUGUCUUCCUGUGUAGUGAUCAAAGUCCUCCCAUUUCUGGGGGGAACGUCACAGUUUACACAGCACUUUCUUCACGACAAUAGCAUGAAGAAAAUAAUACCUGCCCUUUAUCUCCACAUGAGACACAGACAGGUCAAGGACGUGUGCAAGUUCAAAGAGCAAGAGUGGAAUCCAGCCCGAACCAGCACCCCAUGAUGGAAGGGGAAUGACCGUGGCUGGCCCAGUCACUUACAGCUCUUUGACCAGGGGCAGCUCACGAAAAGCUCAGGUUCUUCACCUGCUAAAAGAUGGCAGUGAUAGUGCUUACUGCACAGGGCUGUUUUAGAAAUAAAAUAGAUUUCUAAAAGUGCUCAGCAAAAUGACUAGCAUGUAAUA
Long non-coding RNA from Homo sapiens (human), 2066 nucleotides. Lineage: Eukaryota; Metazoa; Chordata; Mammalia; Primates; Hominidae. The record is from Ensembl.